GAUGAACGCUGGCGGCGUGCCUAAUACAUGCAAGUCGAGCGAACGGACGAGAAGCUUGCUUUUCUGAUGUUAGCGGCGGACGGGUGAGUAACACGUGGAUAACCUACCUAUAAGACUGGGAUAACUUCGGGAAACCGGAGCUAAUACCGGAUAAUAUUUUGAACCGCAUGGUUCAAAAGUGAAAGACGGUCUUGCUGUCACUUAUAGAUGGAUCCGCGCUGCAUUAGCUAGUUGGUAAGGUAACGGCUUACCAAGGCAACGAUGCAUAGCCGACCUGAGAGGGUGAUCGGCCACACUGGAACUGAGACACGGUCCAGACUCCUACGGGAGGCAGCAGUAGGGAAUCUUCCGCAAUGGGCGAAAGCCUGACGGAGCAACGCCGCGUGAGUGAUGAAGGUCUUCGGAUCGUAAAACUCUGUUAUUAGGGAAGAACAUAUGUGUAAGUAACUGUACACAUCUUGACGGUACCUAAUCAGAAAGCCACGGCUAGCUACGUG
Molecule: ribosomal RNA, 497 nt
Filed under: uncultured bacterium
Lineage: Bacteria
Description: partial 16S ribosomal RNA
Rfam family: Bacterial small subunit ribosomal RNA
Source: RNAcentral